GAUGAACGCUGGCGGCGUGCCUAAUACAUGCAAGUCGAGCGAACGGACGAGAAGCUUGCUUCUCUGAUGUUAGCGGCGGACGGGUGAGUAACACGUGGAUAACCUACCUAUAAGACUGGGAUAACUUCGGGAAACCGGAGCUAAUACCGGAUAAUAUUUUGAACCGCAUGGUUCAAAAGUGAAAGACGGUCUUGCUGUCACUUAUAGAUGGAUCCGCGCUGCAUUAGCUAGUUGGUAAGGUAACGGCUUACCAAGGCAACGAUGCAUAGCCGACCUGAGAGGGUGAUCGGCCACACUGGAACUGAGACACGGUCCAGACUCCUACGGGAGGCAGCAGUAGGGAAUCUUCCGCAAUGGGCGAAAGCCUGACGGAGCAACGCCGCGUGAGUGAUGAAGGUCUUCGGAUCGUAAAACUCUGUUAUUAGGGAAGAACAUAUGUGUAAGUAACUGUGCACAUCUUGACGGUACCUAAUCAGAAAGCCACGGCUAACUACGUGCCAGCAGCCGCGGUAAUACGUAGGUGGCAAGCGUUAUCCGGAAUUAUUGGGCGUAAAGCGCGCGUAGGCGGUUUUUUAAGUCUGAUGUGAAAGCCCACGGCUCAACCGUGGAGGGUCAUUGGAAACUGGAAAACUUGAGUGCAGAAGAGGAAAGUGGAAUUCCAUGUGUAGCGGUGAAAUGCGCAGAGAUAUGGAGGAACACCAGUGGCGAAGGCGACUUUCUGGUCUGUAACUGACGCUGAUGUGCGAAAGCGUGGGGAUCAAACAGGAUUAGAUACCCUGGUAGUCCACGCCGUAAACAAUGAGUGCUAAGUGUUAGGGGGUUUCCGCCCCUUAGUGCUGCAGCUAACGCAUUAAGCACUCCGCCUGGGGAGUACGACCGCAAGGUUGAAACUCAAAGGAAUUGACGGGGACCCGCACAAGCGGUGGAGCAUGUGGUUUAAUUCGAAGCAACGCGAAGAACCUUACCAAAUCUUGACAUCCUUUGACAACUCUAGAGAUAGAGCCUUCCCCUUCGGGGGGGCAAAGUGACAGGUGGUGCAUGGUUGUCGUCAGCUCGUGUCGUGAGAUGUUGGGUCAAGUCCCGCAACGAGCGCAACCCUUAAGCUUAGUUGCCAUCAUUAAGUUGGGCACUCUAAGUUGACUGCCGGUGACAAACCGGAGGAAGGUGGGGAUGACGUCAAAUCAUCAUGCCCCUUAUGAUUUGGGCUACACACGUGCUACAAUGGACAAUACAAAGGGCAGCGAAACCGCGAGGUCAAGCAAAUCCCAUAAAGUUGUUCUCAGUUCGGAUUGUAGUCUGCAACUCGACUACAUGAAGCUGGAAUCGCUAGUAAUCGUAGAUCAGCAUGCUACGGUGAAUACGUUCCCGGGUCU
RNAcentral lists this ribosomal RNA (1373 nucleotides) under uncultured bacterium. Its description in RNAcentral is "bacterial SSU rRNA". It matches the Rfam family "Bacterial small subunit ribosomal RNA", at positions 28 to 1381 of the family's 1533-position model. The record is from RNAcentral.